Cicer arietinum (chickpea) is the source of this 305-nucleotide non-coding RNA. Lineage: Eukaryota; Viridiplantae; Streptophyta; Magnoliopsida; Fabales; Fabaceae. The record is from RefSeq and is a predicted model, not a curated record.
AGAAAAGAGAUUCUGAAGUUGAUAUGUUGAAGGAGCAAAUUGCUUUCUUGAUGCAAAUGCAAAAUUCUAGAGACAAACAGGCAAUGGACAUAGAAUCGCCAAUAGAUGGUAGACGUUCAUCUAAGUCCAGCCACCAACCUGAUGAUCGUGGAACAACAUCAUUAAGGACUAAUUAGAUAUUUGGAUGAACUUCUAAGUUUGAUGGAGUUGUUUUGUAUUGUUAGCUACUCCACUAAUGUUUUGAAUAUUUAAACUACUUUAUUUAUUGUUUUAGUUAACUUCAAUGUAUGAAUUGGUGUUAUUUC